Non-coding RNA from Ailuropoda melanoleuca (giant panda), 58 nucleotides. Lineage: Eukaryota; Metazoa; Chordata; Mammalia; Carnivora; Ursidae. The record is from Rfam.
UGGCUCAGUCGGUAGAGCAUGUGAUUUUUGAUCUCAGGGUUGUGAGUUCAAACCCCAC